Molecule: long non-coding RNA, 276 nt
Organism: Mastomys coucha (southern multimammate mouse)
Lineage: Eukaryota; Metazoa; Chordata; Mammalia; Rodentia; Muridae
Exons: 3
Source: RefSeq, a predicted model, not a curated record
GGAUCCUCUGGGACUACAGUCUGUUGAGAAGGGAGCUAGAGGAGAGCAUGCCCAGCGGGACAGGAGGAAAUCAUAAAAACGUUAUCAAAUUUAAACAUCAUCAGGAUGUUCACAUGAUGGAACUGUUUUGUUCUGAGAAGUGGGCUGGGACUUAGAUCAGCGGUCAUCAGGGAAGCCUCCUCUUUCGGUAAAUGGGAACUAACACAGAGACCCACAGCUGGACAAUGUGCAGAGAGAGAGACUUUGGAGCACUCAGUCCUGAACAGGAUGUCUUCG